This is a long non-coding RNA of Rattus rattus (black rat), 247 nucleotides long. RefSeq lists it as uncharacterized. The record is from RefSeq and is a predicted model, not a curated record. The transcript has 3 exons. NCBI's taxonomy places the organism in Eukaryota, Metazoa, Chordata, Mammalia, Rodentia, Muridae.
GGUUCUCUCGAAGAUCUCUCAGGCCGGCCGUUUCUCUUCAGGCGGCGCCGUGGGCAGCCCGCGGGCCUUGUAAGAGCGCGCAGCCCCGCCCUCCUCCUUUCCGCCGGGGCAGCCAUCUUCCAGUAACUCGCCAAAAUGACGAACACAAAAGGAAAGAGGAGGGGUACUCGGUAUAUGUUCUCUAGACCUUUUAGGAAACAUGGAGUCGUUCCUUUGGCCACAUACAUGCGAAUCUACAAGAAGGGUG